CCUACGGGAGGCUGCAGUAGGGAAUCUUCCGCAAUGGACGAAAGUCUGACGGAGCAACGCCGCGUGAGUGAUGAAGGUUUUCAGAUCGUAAAGCUCUGUUGUUAGGGAAGAACAAGUGCGAGAGUAACUGCUCGCACCUUGACGGUACCUAACCAGAAAGCCACGGCUAACUACGUGCCAGCAGCCGCGGUAAUACGUAGGUGGCAAGCGUUGUCCGGAAUUAUUGGGCGUAAAGGGCUCGCAGGCGGUUUCUUAAGUCUGAUGUGAAAGCCCCCGGCUCAACCGGGGAGGGUCAUUGGAAACUGGGAAACUUGAGUGCAGAAGAGGAGAGUGGAAUUCCACGUGUAGCGGUGAAAUGCGUAGAGAUGUGGAGGAACACCAGUGGCGAAGGCGACUCUCUGGUCUGUAACUGACGCUGAGGAGCGAAAGCGUGGGGAGCGAACAGGAUUAGAUACCCGGUAGUC
Molecule: ribosomal RNA, 464 nt
Filed under: uncultured bacterium
Lineage: Bacteria
Description: bacterial SSU rRNA
Rfam family: Bacterial small subunit ribosomal RNA
Source: RNAcentral